Molecule: long non-coding RNA, 343 nt
Filed under: Hordeum vulgare
Lineage: Eukaryota; Viridiplantae; Streptophyta; Magnoliopsida; Poales; Poaceae
Description: long non-coding RNA (HVUL_LNC014164)
Source: RNAcentral
GCACAUAUACGACGUACGAGCGAGAUUAGAUGUCGAAGGAGUUCUUGCCGGUGAACUUGACCUCGAUGGGGCUGACGUUCUUGCCGAUGCUGCGGAAGUUCUGUCCCACGCCCUGCCUGCCGGCGUUGACCUUCUCCGGGUAGACGCCGUCCUUGGGGUGGAGGUACUGCACCUCGCCGUUGGGGAAGACGCGGUAGAACUGGUAGGCGAUCUUGUACUUGGAGCGGAGGCGGUUGCCGAGGGCGAGGCACUGCUCCUUGCGGGCGAGCUUGAGGAGGUUGGGGCCCUCGCGCAUGAUGGCGGCGCCGCCGGUGGGCAUCUCGAAGACCUGCUCCUUGGGGGA